This 1591-nucleotide long non-coding RNA is filed under the name Homo sapiens (human). RNAcentral describes it as "non-protein coding LINC02455:10". Lineage: Eukaryota; Metazoa; Chordata; Mammalia; Primates; Hominidae. The record is from RNAcentral.
GUUGAUGUGAGUCUGCCAGGCAUGGUGGUACACGCCUGUAAUCCCAGCUACUCAGGAGGCUGAGGCAGGAGGAUCUCUUGAGCCCAGGAGUUCAAGGCUGCAAUGAGCUAUGAUCACGCCACUGCACUCCAGCCUGGGUGACAGAGUGAGAGUCAAAACAAAACAAAAUAAAACAAACAAAAAGCCUGGUUAAGGUGAAUCUAACUGGGCUUUGGCUUACCUUCUCUUUUUUGGGAGGUAGAAGGUUUUUGGAAGGUAGAAGGAUGUAUUGCAAUGAUUCCCCAGCUUCAUUCACUAGCACACCACCUUCAUGAUUUUUGACGUGUCCACAUAUCAGUUGUACUAUUAUUUUCUUAAUUAGACUUUCUUAUUUUCUUAUCUUCACCUAUGAUAUUUUUUAAUGGAACCAUGGCUUUGCAAUACAUAUGAUGUUUUUUCAAAUAUACAUUAAAAUGCAAAACUAUUAAAAUAAUUUUUUUUUUACCACCUAAGAUUAUUUUAUGUGUACUACCUUAGGAAACAAUGUCAUGUAGGCUUUGGAAUCAGGCAGGCUUGUUCAGGUAAUACCUGUAUGUCCUUGGGCAAGCCACACUCUCUAACCUCCAAUAUUGUCAUAAUAAGUGUGUCUUCCUUAGGAUUUUGGUGAGGGCUAGAUGGGUCAGUUUGUGUGUGUGUGUCUGUGUGUGUGUUGCGUGUCUGUGUGUGUAGAUGUGGGUCUCACUGUGUUGCUCAGGCUGGUCUCAAACUUCUGGGCUCAAAUGAUCCUCCUGCCUCGGCCUUCCAAGUGCUGGAAUCACAGACGUAAGCCACUGCACCCAGCCCUAGAUGGGAUGAUUUAAACACUGUGUUUCAACUGCCUUGCACGUGGGUAACACCUAGUAAGUACUCAGUCACUGUUAACCAUUGCUGUUCCUGCAUUCUCUAUUUCUGCACUUUGUCUGCUUCUCUGUAUUUCCUUUCUUUCCUUUUUGGUCUGUUUGCAGCAGGAACCAGCAUGGAAUGGGUUUGCUUACUGGAGCAUAUGAAAUGUAUGUAAAGCCCUCAGGGACCAGGACAGAAAGCUAAGUGUGGUGCCUCUGCGGGGUCCGGGUGUGUAUAAUAGAAUCUAAUGAUGUGACUUGUUAUCCCAUCGUGCUUGUGUGGUUGAGAUAAUAACAUUGUUUCUAUAGAACCUGCUUUAAAGGGUCAAAGCCCUCAUGGACAUUAUCUAGCUCAUCUCUCUUAAGUGUGGACAAGUGUUAUCGUCCUCGUUUUUCAGGUGGAGAAAUCAAGACCCCAACAGAGGGCUGACCAGGUUACUCAGCAAUGCUGUGGCAGAAACACACAAAAGAGUCCGUGGCUUGUGAUUCACAGGCCAAGACGCUGCCUUGGCGCAGCACUCCCCGUGUUGACGUGGAAGGUGGUGAUGGCAGUGAGCAAAAAAGUGAUCCAUGCACAGAUGCAUUUGUGAACGCCGGAUGAAACAAAGUUAAAAUAGGUGGGUUUUUUUUUUCUGUAGGAUUUCUCAGUCUUUCAUAAGAUAACAUGCAUGAUGAUUCUCCGAGGGAGAUAGAGCAUACAUAAUUUUCCACAUGUGAGCAUUAAGUAUACC